This 497-nucleotide ribosomal RNA is filed under the name uncultured bacterium. Its description in RNAcentral is "partial 16S ribosomal RNA". It matches the Rfam family "Bacterial small subunit ribosomal RNA", at positions 28 to 507 of the family's 1533-position model. The record is from RNAcentral.
GACGAACGCUGGCGGCGUGCCUAAUACAUGCAAGUUGAGCGCUGAAGGUUGGUACUUGUUCCAACUGGAUGAGCAGCGAACGGGUGAGUAACGCGUGGGGAAUCUGCCUUUGAGCGGGGGACAACAUUUGGAAACGAAUGCUAAUACCGCAUAAAAACUUUAAACACAAGUUUUAAGUUUGAAAGAUGCAAUUGCACCACUCAAAGAUGAUCCCGCGUUGUAUUAGCUAGUUGGUGAGGUAAAGGCUCACCAAGGCGAUGAUACAUAGCCGACCUGAGAGGGUGAUCGGCCACAUUGGGACUGAGACACGGCCCAAACUCCUACGGGAGGCAGCAGGAGGGAAUCUUCGGCAAUGGACGAAAGUCUGACCGAGCAACGCCGCGGGAGUGAAGAAGGGUUUCGGAUCGUAAAACUCUGUUGGUAGAGAAGAACGUUGGUGAGAGUGGAAAGCUCAUCAAGUGACGGUAACUACCCAGAAAGGGACGGCUAACUACGUG